Molecule: long non-coding RNA, 742 nt
Organism: Neltuma alba
Lineage: Eukaryota; Viridiplantae; Streptophyta; Magnoliopsida; Fabales; Fabaceae
Exons: 2
Source: RefSeq, a predicted model, not a curated record
CUCGGCCUUAACCAUUAGGGUUUAUCAAUUCUGUGCUCCUGGUUCUUCGGCCGCCUCUUGGCGCGAUGUAGCUAUAGUGAUAUUUCCUUGUGCAAAACUUUUUCGAGCUUCUCUUCAAUCGUCUGAUUUAACUGCAGUCUCAUUUGGUUCUUCUUUUUUGUUCCUUACGAUUGCUGAAGAAAGCCGUUUAUCUUGAUCGGUAAUUACUUGGACCGGCCAAAACCAUUCUAGCAUAUGAGGCCUGGCUUGAAAACCACUAGAAGCUUUCAAUCUCUUUGAUUUUGAUCAGUCACUGAAAUAAUGUCCAUUGCAGAUAGUAAUUAAUGAGAUAGAAGCUUGUAAAGUAUGCCAGUUGUGAAGACCUAGGUAGGUAAUGAAGGCCAUUGCAAAUUAUUACUUGAUACUUCCAGCCAAAAUUCUUGACUGAGGAAUUAUUAAUGCGGUUAAACAGCAAUCUAAUGCUUCUGCCGUAAAUGCCGAAGCAGCAUCAACCUUUACAGUGUGCCCCUGCAAAGCCCUACCGUCAAAGAUAUCACCAAAUUAUUCCUACAAUCAAAGAUAUCAUCACCAAAUUAUUUCACAUUUACAUUACCCUUUAAUUAAGCCAAAUUCUUGCAAAUAUUUGAGUGUCAAAUUUAGAAAUUUCCACAAAACUUGAUGAAUUCAAUGUUAUCAGAAACUUUUUAUUAUGUUGCUAGUUUUAUUCUGAAGUUGUUUUAAAAAAAAAAAAAGGGUCAUUUUA